Long non-coding RNA from Chenopodium quinoa (quinoa), 325 nucleotides. RefSeq lists it as uncharacterized. The record is from RefSeq and is a predicted model, not a curated record. The transcript has 3 exons. Lineage: Eukaryota; Viridiplantae; Streptophyta; Magnoliopsida; Caryophyllales; Amaranthaceae.
CAUUAUCGGACGUGAAGAUGUCAAUCAACUUCUCACGAGAGCAUGGCUGAAUAUUUCAAUUUUGCAAGUUUUUAUGAUAGCCUUGAGUGACAUACUCGAUACGGUGGAUGUGGCUUCCAUUGGAUUCAUGUGUCCGGAAAUGAUUUCAGAAACCUAUUUGCAUAGUGAUGCAGAUCGUAUCCUACUAUACAUGACACAUGUGAUGGAAAAACAAAAAUCUAAGCAGUUCAUCUUAUGCCCAUACCAUGAAAAGAAUCAUUGGAUUCUUUUGGUCUUAUGCAUGGCUAAGCGUGAAGUCAUCAUCUUUGAUUCUUUGAAGCAGAAG